UUCCACAGCUACUGGUCUGCAGCUGUUCUUACGGUAGCAGUUGUGGCAUUCCUCUGUGGGAAAGAAACUGUUAACACAAUUAAACACCUCUUUCUUAGCAAAACAGAAAGUGGGUAUUGUGUGACAGACACAA
Molecule: small nucleolar RNA, 133 nt
Filed under: Aotus nancymaae (Ma's night monkey)
Lineage: Eukaryota; Metazoa; Chordata; Mammalia; Primates; Aotidae
Description: Small nucleolar RNA SNORA41 (ENSANAG00000001919.1)
Rfam family: Small nucleolar RNA SNORA41
About the family: ACA41 is a member of the H/ACA class of snoRNA that guide the sites of modification of uridines to pseudouridines.
Source: Rfam by way of RNAcentral